This 105-nucleotide ribosomal RNA is filed under the name Acanthosepion pharaonis. The record is from RNAcentral. Lineage: Eukaryota; Metazoa; Mollusca; Cephalopoda; Sepiida; Sepiidae.
UGACCAUAUCACAUUAAAACAUCGGUUUCUGUACGAUCACCGAUGUUAAGCAACAUCGAGCCUGGUCAGUACCUAGAUGGGUAACCGCUUGUGAACACCAAUUGC